This 16-nucleotide transfer RNA is filed under the name Nerodia erythrogaster flavigaster. RNAcentral's name for it is "partial tRNA-Thr". Lineage: Eukaryota; Metazoa; Chordata; Lepidosauria; Squamata; Natricidae. The record is from RNAcentral.
GCUCAAGUAGCUUAUA